GCCACGUUGGCAGAGUGGUCUAAUGCGUCAGUCGCUCGGUAGUCCGGCAAAGCGUGGCUUUACAACAUGAUCUGGCGCGUGAUCAUGGGCGUGAGGCGGUUACCCUGUAACACAGUCUGAUCCCUUCGGGGGCGCGGGUUCGAAUCCUGCACGUGGCG
This 158-nucleotide transfer RNA is filed under the name Cadophora sp. DSE1049. Its description in RNAcentral is "tRNA-Glu". It matches the Rfam family "tRNA". From Rfam's summary of the family: Transfer RNA (tRNA) molecules are approximately 80 nucleotides in length. Lineage: Eukaryota; Fungi; Ascomycota; Leotiomycetes; Helotiales; Ploettnerulaceae. The record is from RNAcentral.